RNAcentral lists this unclassified non-coding RNA (831 nucleotides) under Hevea brasiliensis (rubber tree). The record is from RNAcentral. Lineage: Eukaryota; Viridiplantae; Streptophyta; Magnoliopsida; Malpighiales; Euphorbiaceae.
AAUCAAAAUAAUUCCUAAAUCUAAUCUUCCUUGACUGCAUCACAUAGAUUAUGUAAAGAUGGGUAAAGAGAAAAGAAAAAGAAUCUUAAACACACCAAACCAUCUCCUAGAAAAGAAGAUGUGACCCCAUUCUCCACCACAUACUAUAAUUGCCCAACAUGAAAAUAGAAACGCAAGAGUAUAGUGGUAAUCUUUUCUAGAUAAUUAUACUAUUUCAAUUGUGAACCAACCACACUACCACAGUAAUGUGAAACGUAGGACCUUUGUUCUUGGGAAUCUAAUAACCAACAAUCACAUUCCUAGGGCAGUAAUUCAAAGAGGUAAAAUUCUGCAAGCCAAAUUCUACUAAAGUACUAUUCUUUCACUAAAGAUGUUUCCUACAUAUAAGCAUAGACCACAGAUUUUGGAAGCAACAAAUAUAUUAAAGGAACUUUAGAGCUUGGUAAUAGGUAAAUUUUAUGAAGUUAAAGAUUGCCAUUCUUUCAUAUGCUCUCUCUAUUGCACAUACACCUGCUCCCUUUCAACAACAUUUCCAUGAUAUAUAUUGGUAUUAAAACUAUAACAAUAGGAACUUGUCUAAAAACCAAAUAAUACUCUUACCACUCAAUAAACUAAAAAUUUGUCUUCCUCUUUAACGGAAAAAAUAGAAAUAGGCAUAGGACUAAUGCUGAUAUUAGGAACAAGGGCCUUAUCAAUUAUUUGCGAUCUAGUUACGGACAAAGUAUGUAAUAAGUACAUUAGUAGUGAGCAAAUUGAGAAAUUUUAUAUGGUCUUUUGUAGCAAAACAACAUUUUUAUUUCAUCAGUCUUCCAACAGAACUUUUUACAAAUA